Molecule: ribosomal RNA, 780 nt
Filed under: uncultured bacterium
Lineage: Bacteria
Description: bacterial SSU rRNA
Rfam family: Bacterial small subunit ribosomal RNA
Source: RNAcentral
GCAGUCGACGGCAGCAGCAGGAACAAUCCCUUCGGGGUGCGUUCCUGGCUGGCGAGUGGCGGACGGGUGAGUAAUACAUAGGAAUCUGCCCAGUAGCGGGGGAUAGCCCGGGGAAACUCGGAUUAAUACCGCAUACGCCCUACGGGGGAAAGCAGGGGAUCUUCGGACCUUGCACUAUUGGAUGAGCCUAUGUCUGAUUAGCUUGUUGGUAGGGUAACGGCCUACCAAGGCGACGAUCAGUAGCUGGUCUGAGAGGACGAUCAGCCACACCGGAACUGAGACACGGUCCGGACUCCUACGGGAGGCAGCAGUGGGGAAUAUUGGACAAUGGGGGAAACCCUGAUCCAGCAAUGCCGCGUGUGUGAAGAAGGCCUGCGGGUUGUAAAGCACUUUCGGUUGGGAAGAAAAGCUCAGUGCUAAUACCAUUGAGUCUUGACAUCACCAACAGAAGAAGCACCGGCUAACUCCGUGCCAGCAGCCGCGGUAAUACGGAGGGUGCGAGCGUUAAUCGGAAUUACUGGGCGUAAAGCGCGCGUAGGUGGCUUGUUAAGUCGGUUGUGAAAGCCCCGGGCUUAACCUGGGAAUUGCAGUCGAUACUGGCAAGCUAGAGUGUAGUAGAGGGAAGCGGAAUUCCAGGUGUAGCGGUGAAAUGCGUAGGUAUCUGGAGGAACACCAGUGGCGAAGGCGGCUUCCUGGACUAACACUGACACUGAGGUGCGAAAGCGUGGGUAGCAAACAGGAUUAGAUACCCUGGUAGUCCACGCCCUAAACGAUGAGAAC